Molecule: ribosomal RNA, 490 nt
Filed under: uncultured bacterium
Lineage: Bacteria
Description: partial 16S ribosomal RNA
Rfam family: Bacterial small subunit ribosomal RNA
Source: RNAcentral
AUUGAACGCUGGCGGCAUGCCUUACACAUGCAAGUCGAACGGGGGUAGCAAUACCCUAGUGGCGAACGGGUGAGUAAAGCAUCGGAACGUACCCAGUUGUGGGGGAUAACGUAGCGAAAGUUACGCUAAUACCGCAUACGCACUGAGGUGGAAAGCGGGGGAUCGCAAGACCUCGCGCAAUUGGAGCGGCCGAUGUCGGAUUAGCUAGUUGGUAGGGUAAAAGCCUACCAAGGUGACGAUCCGUAGCUGGUCUGAGAGGACGACCAGCCACACUGGGACUGAGACACGGCCCAGACUCCUACGGGAGGCAACAGUGGGGAAUUUUGGACAAUGGGCGAAAGCCUGAUCCAGCCAUGCCGCGUGAGUGAAGAAGGCCUUCGGGUUGUAAAGCUCUUUCGGACAGAAAGAAAUCGCACGGGCAAAUAAUCCGUGUGGAUGACGGUACUGUAAGAAGAAGCACCGGCUAACUACGUGCCAGCCGCCGCAGUAA